This 502-nucleotide ribosomal RNA is filed under the name uncultured bacterium. Its description in RNAcentral is "bacterial SSU rRNA". It matches the Rfam family "Bacterial small subunit ribosomal RNA", at positions 338 to 839 of the family's 1533-position model. The record is from RNAcentral.
CCUACGGGAGGCAGCAGUAAGGAAUAUUGGUCAAUGGAGGCAACUCUGAACCAGCCAUGCCGCGUGCAGGAAGACUGCCCUAUGGGUUGUAAACUGCUUUUAUCCGGGAAUAAACCUGCUUACGUGUAAGUAGCUGAAUGUACCGGAAGAAUAAGGAUCGGCUAACUCCGUGCCAGCAGCCGCGGUAAUACGGAGGAUCCAAGCGUUAUCCGGAUUUAUUGGGUUUAAAGGUGCGUAGGCGGCCUGUUAAGUCAGGGGUGAAAGACGGUAGCUCAACUAUCGCAGUGCCCUUGAUACUGAUGGGCUUGAAUGGACUAGAGGUAGGCGGAAUGAGACAAGUAGCGGUGAAAUGCAUAGAUAUGUCUCAGAACACCGAUUGCGAAGGCAGCUUACUAUGGCCUUAUUGACGCUGAGGCACGAAAGCGUGGGGAUCAAACAGGAUUAGAUACCCUGGUAGUCCACGACCUAACGAUAGACACUCGCUGUUGGUCGAUACACACGU